GCAUAAUACCGGAACACUGGGAAGUGUACUGGUAAAAACUCUGGUGCUUCAGGAGGGGCCUACGGCCGAUUAGCUAGUUGGCGGGGUAAGAGCCCACCAAGGCAGUGAUCGGUAGCUGGUCUGAGAGGACGAUCAGCCACACGGGAACUGAGACACGGUCCCGACUCCUACGGGGGGCAGCAGUGAGGAAUAUUGGGCAAUGGGCGGAAGCCUGACCCAGCAACGCCGCGUGGAGGAAGACGGCCUUCGGGUUGUAAACUCCUUUUACGGGGGAAGAGCGAGGACGGUACCCCGAGAAUAAGUCACGGCUAACUACGUGCCAGCAGCCGCGGUAAUACGUAGGUGACAAGCGUUAUCCGGAAUUACUGGGCGUAAAGCGCACGCAGGCGGCGCAUUAAGUCUGACGUGAAAUCUCCUGGCUUAACUGGGAGGGGUCGUUGGAAACUGAUGUGCUUGAGGCGGUGAGAGGGGGUGUAGAAUUCCCGGUGUAGUGGUGGAAUGCGUAGAUAUCGGGAGGAAUACCAGUGGC
This 529-nucleotide ribosomal RNA is filed under the name uncultured bacterium. RNAcentral's name for it is "bacterial SSU rRNA". It matches the Rfam family "Bacterial small subunit ribosomal RNA", at positions 171 to 716 of the family's 1533-position model. The record is from RNAcentral.